UUUCCUGAAAACAACAUCACAAAGUAGCGUUGUACAAACUCCACCACUUGAGCAGAAGCAUUGUACGCAUUCAGCGGUGGAGAUGCCGAGAGUCGCUGUGAUGACGCUCUGCUCAAACAGUGUAUCCUCUGGGUGAGCUUUGCAAUCUUCGUACGCACAUAGGCUGUAUUAAGUGUAAAUUAAAGAAAACAUGAACCCCCUAAUAACUUUGAAAAAUGGAGCUGUACAGAAAAAAAGAGGACUUGAGCACAAACCAGUCUUACAGUAACUACAUGUCAACAUUGCAAACAGCGGAGAGAAAAAUUUAUAUUCUGUGUAAUAAAUUUGUAAAGCUUGUCCACAGCUCCAUACAGAUUGCUGGUGGAGGAGGGAUUUAUGACCUAUACUGCAACCUGUCACCAGAGUGUGCCUUUUCCAGGUGGCUGCACCCAGCAAGGAGGCAGACGGCAUCCAUUCUAUAUACAGUCCAUGGUUCAAAUGUCAUGCCCAGAAAGAAAAAAAAACCCUGCGUGAUUACAGUUAUUCUGAGUAUUUAUACAGGAACAUAAAGAAGUUAGACAUGUUAUGGAUUGAGAUACAUUUAGUGUAGCAAUAAGAGCAAUGCCAGUUCUUUGAAAACGCUAUUAUCAAGGCUUUCCUCCAAAUAGCAGAAAAGACUUACUAGCAGUAUCAACAAGGACUCCAAGCAUUAAGGAAUCUUGACAUGGGUAUCAAAUCAGUAUCAGAUAAAAAUUAACCACCCAUCCAACCAUUUCUCUCUGUGUCUGUGCUUGCUUAUGUUGGAUUCAUUUCUGGUCUCUUAAAAUAACAGAAGCUGCAGGGUCUCCUUUUUUCAUUGCAAGGUGUCUUAGGGCUAUUUUUGUUGUGAGUUGGCCCUGUUUAAGCCCAAACCGACUAAUUGUUUGAUGAACAUGAAAACAAUGCAGGAACAAAUGCAUCCAGAAAUAAAGAAGGGCCCCACACCCCAGAAAAGCAGGAACCUUCCUCUGAUUUUCCAUUUUGGGUCAUUUCACAGCAUCAGUAAUUUUACUCACUCACUGUAAAAUCUUUUAACUGGGUGCAAGUUUGCCUGCUUUCAUGUGUCAGUCAGGACUACGAGCAGAGGCGGCGUAGUAAGCUGCUGUGUCUGUUUGCAGAGUCUGAUGCUGAUUAAUUGCAUCUGGAUAAAAGUGGAGGGUUUUCAUCUCCGUGGAGGCCUGUUCUAACCCUGAAUGUUUAUGCUCGCUUAUCAUCCUAACAGCCCGUCGUAAUUAGUUCAAUCAAAUACAAACACGAGUAAAUGCUAAUGUGCUCAGUGGAAGCCUGUUGCUUUCACGUGGGACUUUUCCCCGCUCCUCAGAUCUGCUCUACAGUCCUGGAUUAGAAUAAAAAGACUUCUGAAGUGGCUUUUGGAUGAGGCUUUUGUUUUUUCUUUUUCUUUGUUUCAUGUCGACUCCAGCUUUGCAGGUGUGCUUUGUCCCUAACCUCUUAAUACCUCAUGCUUGAGCAGCGUCUUCUGAUGUUAACUCUAAUUUUAAGGCGUAGGUUGAAACAAAGCAAGAUUUCAGGAUUAAGAGGGUUGCCCAAACAUGGAGUUUUAUGUCAGAGUUUGUCACUGGCUGCGUAAACGCUUAACCAUAGAGAAGAGAUUUUAGCCGUGUCAGCAAGUCUAAGAUCAAACACAAACUCUUUUUUUCCGUUUACCAUCAAAGAAAAAGUCAAAAUUGAGCCAUGGACUCAUAAAAAUUCUUUUGACUGAUUGUACAGUCAAAAUAAAAUACAACAGAGACGAUGACAGUUUUGCAUUUAUAUCAACGCAAACGGAUGGACGUGCAGAUUUCUCCUCUAUUCUUACCUUGAAAACGAUUCUCCCUCUUCAGUCACAGAUGUAGGGCCUGUGUCCACUGAGAGUGUUUUUUUGUGCUAGCAGAACCCAC
This 1916-nucleotide long non-coding RNA is filed under the name Xyrichtys novacula (pearly razorfish). The record is from RNAcentral. Lineage: Eukaryota; Metazoa; Chordata; Actinopteri; Labriformes; Labridae.